Molecule: ribosomal RNA, 1258 nt
Filed under: Sambus femoralis
Lineage: Eukaryota; Metazoa; Arthropoda; Insecta; Coleoptera; Buprestidae
Description: 16S ribosomal RNA
Rfam family: Archaeal large subunit ribosomal RNA (bases 1019-1177)
Source: RNAcentral
AUUUAACAUCUUAUUUUUUAUUUUUAAUUAAAAUAUUAUAAUAUUUAGUAGUUUAGAAAUAUGUAAUUUUAUUAUAGUUUAUAGUACCGCUAGGGGGUGAUUUUAGAAGAUUUUUCAAAGAAGAAUUAAUUUUUUGUACCUUGUGUGUCAGGGUUUAAUAAAAUAAGGUUAAGGAUUUAAUUUUCCCGAAUUCAAAAGAGCUAAGAGUAAGUUAUUUUUUUGUAACAUAAAAAUUUAUAACUUUUUCUUAGUAAUGAAAUGUUAUUUCGUUUUUGAUUAUAUCUGGUUUUUUGAGAAUUAAAUUUAAUUUUAUGGUUAUUAUUUUUUCUAGUUAUUUUAUUCUUUUAAUAAGUUAACCUUAAACUUCUCUAGGGAAAAGCUUAGUUAAGUAUUACUAUAAUUUUUUAUUAUUAAUCUAGGAUUUUAGGAUUAAAAGUUUCUAUUUUAAAGUGUGUUAUUACUUUCCUUUGGUUAUUUAUUAAUUUAUUAAUAUUUAGAUUUUUUAUUGAAAAGAUAAUUUUAAUUUUAGAAUUUUGUAAUAAUGUUAUAAUUAGUAAAUUGUUUUGGGGAUUUAUUUAUAAUAUUUUAUUGUUAAUAAGGAAUUAGGCAAGGUUUCUUCGCCUGUUUAUUAAAAACAUGUCCUUUUGCUUUAAAAUUUAAGGUCUAACCUGCCCAAUGAAGAGUUCAAUGGCCGCGAUAUUUUGAUCGUGCGAAGGUAGCAUAAUCAUUAGUUUUUUAAUUGGAAGCUGGUAUGAAUGGUUGGACGAAGGAAACUCUGUCUCACUAGCAUAGAUUGAAUUUUAUUUUUAAGUUAAAAAGCUUAAAUUUUUUUAAAAGACGAGAAGACCCUAUAGAGUUUAUAUAUUUAAUAUUAUUUUAAAUUUAAGAAUUUAUUUUUAAGGUUUUUAUUAACUAUUUUGUUGGGGUGACAAAAGGAUUAGCAUAACUCCUUUUAUAAAAAAUAUUGAUUUUUAGGUUAAUGAUUUGCUUUAGCAAUUAUAAGUUAAAUUACCUUAGGGAUAACAGCGUUAUUUAUUUGGAGAGUUCAAAUCGAUAAAUAAGAUUGCGACCUCGAUGUUGGAUUAAAGUUAAAUUUUGGUGUAGAAGCUAAGAUAAUUAGUCUGUUCGACUAUUAAUUCUUUACAUGAUCUGAGUUUAAACCGGCGUGAGCCAGGUUGGUUUCUAUCUUUAAUAAAUUUAAAUAUUUUAGUACGAAAGGACCAAAUAUUUCUUUAAUAAAGUUAAAUAGAAUAUUAAU